AAUCUGGUCGGGGUCGAGUGUAAUUUGUAGAGAGUGCUUCGGGGGAGACCACGGUCUAAGUCCGUUGGAACAUGGCGUCAGAGAGGGUGAGAAUCCCGUAUGUGACCGUGGCUCGAGCCCAUGUGAAGCCUCUUCGACGAGUCGAGUUGUUUGGGAAUGCAGCUCAAAAUGGGUGGUAAAUUUCAUCUAAAGCUAAAUACUGGCUGGAGACCGAUAGCGCACAAGUAGAGUGAUCGAAAGAUGAAAAGCACUUUGGAAAGAGAGUGAAACAGUACGUGAAAUUGUUGAAAGGGAAGCGCUGGCAACCAGACCUGUCCGUAGGCGAUCGGCCACUGUUUUCAGUGGUGCACUCGCUCUGCGAUCAGGCCAGCAUCGGUUUCGGCGGUCGGAUAAAGACCUUGGGAACGUAGCUCCUCUCCGGGGGAGUGUUAUAGCCCUCGGUGCAAUGCGGCCAGCCGGGACCGAGGACCGCGCUUCGGCUAGGAUGCUGGCGUAAUGGUUGUCAGCGACCCGUCUUGAAACACGGACCAAGGAGUUGACCAUUGAUGCGAGUGUUUGGGUGUCAAACCCAUGCGCGGAAUGAAAGUGAACGGAGGUGAGAACCCUUAAGGGCGCAUCAUCGACCGAUCCAGAUGUCUUCGGAUGGAUUUGAGUAUGAGCAUUUCUGGUCUGACCCGAAGGUGAACUAUGCCUGAAUAGGGUGAAGCCAGAGGAAACUCUGGUGGAGGCUCGCAGCGGUUCUGACGUGCAAAUCGAUCGUCAAAUUUGGGUAUAGG
This 776-nucleotide ribosomal RNA is filed under the name Hypotrachyna densirhizinata. Its description in RNAcentral is "partial 28S ribosomal RNA". It matches the Rfam family "Eukaryotic large subunit ribosomal RNA", at positions 128 to 921 of the family's 3401-position model. Lineage: Eukaryota; Fungi; Ascomycota; Lecanoromycetes; Lecanorales; Parmeliaceae. The record is from RNAcentral.